CCUACGGGAGGCAGCAGUGAGGAAUAUUGGUCAAUGGACGAGAGUCUGAACCAGCCAAGUAGCGUGAAGGAUGACUGCCCUAUGGGUUGUAAACUUCUUUUAUAUGGGAAUAAAAUGUUCCACGUGUGGGAUUUUGUAUGUACCAUAUGAAUAAGGAUCGGCUAACUCCGUGCCAGCAGCCGCGGUAAUACGGAGGAUCCGAGCGUUAUCCGGAUUUAUUGGGUUUAAGGGGAGGGUAGGUGGAUUGGUAAGUCAGUUGUGAAAGUUUGCGGCUCAACCGUAAAAUUGCAGAUGAAACUGGCAGUCUUGAGUACAGUAGAGGUGGGCGGAAUUCGUGGUGUAGCGGUGAAAUGCUUAGAUAUCACGAAGAACUCCGAUUGCGAAGGCAGUUCACUGGACUGCAACUGACACUGAGGCUCGAAAGUGUGGGUAUCAAACAGGAUUAGAUACCCUUGUAGUC
This 460-nucleotide ribosomal RNA is filed under the name uncultured bacterium. RNAcentral's name for it is "partial 16S ribosomal RNA". It matches the Rfam family "Bacterial small subunit ribosomal RNA", at positions 338 to 795 of the family's 1533-position model. The record is from RNAcentral.